RNAcentral lists this ribosomal RNA (162 nucleotides) under Rossellomorea marisflavi. RNAcentral's name for it is "Bacillus marisflavi partial 16S ribosomal RNA". It matches the Rfam family "Bacterial small subunit ribosomal RNA", at positions 1 to 157 of the family's 1533-position model. Lineage: Bacteria; Bacillati; Bacillota; Bacilli; Caryophanales; Bacillaceae. The record is from RNAcentral.
UUUUUAUGGAGAGUUUGAUCCUGGCUCAGGACGAACGCUGGCGGCGUGCCUAAUACAUGCAAGUCGAGCGGAUCGAUGGGAGCUUGCUCCCUGAGAUCAGCGGCGGACGGGUGAGUAACACGUGGGUAACCUGCCUGUAAGACUGGGAUAACUCCGGGAAAC